RNAcentral lists this long non-coding RNA (300 nucleotides) under Capsicum annuum. RNAcentral's name for it is "long non-coding RNA (CANN_LNC005182)". Lineage: Eukaryota; Viridiplantae; Streptophyta; Magnoliopsida; Solanales; Solanaceae. The record is from RNAcentral.
AGGAUCUUCCUGAUUAAGCAUCAUUUGUGUUUUUGUUUUAUUUUAUUUCCUGAGGACAUGCACACAUUCUAAGUUGAGGGUGUAGAUAUUUCAUAGAAGCAUGGCACAUUCGAUGUUUAAAAUAGUGAAAUUAUGCAUUAACUUAGGUCAUCUCAUCGAAUAUGAUGUGUGUUUUAUGUGUUUUGCAUGGAAACUAGGUUGGAAGUGGUGUUGGACUAAAAAAGGAGAAAAGAAAGUUCUAAGAAAUUGAAGUACUAAUCAAGAUACAAGUUGUUAAUUCACAUUAUGACUCAUGGCCAG